RNAcentral lists this ribosomal RNA (520 nucleotides) under Clostridiales bacterium. Its description in RNAcentral is "bacterial LSU rRNA". It matches the Rfam family "Bacterial large subunit ribosomal RNA", at positions 1 to 521 of the family's 2925-position model. The record is from RNAcentral. Lineage: Bacteria; Bacillati; Bacillota; Clostridia; Eubacteriales.
GAAUAAGCUACAAAGAGCGUACGGGGGAUGCCUUGGUACAUGGCGCCGAAGAAGGACGUGACAAGCUGCGAAAAGCUACGGGGAGUUGCAAAUAAGCGUUAAUCCGUAGAUGUCCGAAUGUGGAAACACAAUACAAGUAACGUUGUAUUAUCAUUGACUGAACAAAUAGGUUAAUGAGGGGAACCUGGGGAACUGAAACAUCUAAUUACCCAGAGGAAAAGAAAGUAAGGAAACGAUUCCGAAAGUAGUGGCGAGCGAAAUUGGAACAGCCCAAACCGUAUAUAGCAAUAUGUACGGGGUAAGGACUCUGAUAAGCCAAGAAGAAAGUUAGCAGAAGAGUGUUGGAAAGCACGACCGAAGAGGGUAAAAGUCCCGUAAGCGAAAACGUUCAAAAGGCGAAGAGAAUCCGGAGUACGUCGGGACACGAGGAAUCCUGACGGAAGGAUGGAGGACCAUCUCCAAAGGCUAAAUACGACCAUGUGACCGAUAGAGUAUAGUACCGUGAGGGAAAGGUGAAAAG